RNAcentral lists this ribosomal RNA (433 nucleotides) under uncultured bacterium. RNAcentral's name for it is "partial 16S ribosomal RNA". It matches the Rfam family "Bacterial small subunit ribosomal RNA", at positions 29 to 507 of the family's 1533-position model. The record is from RNAcentral.
AACGAACGCUGGCGGCAUGCCUAACACAUGCAAGUCGAACGAGACCUUCGGGUCUAGUGGCGCACAGGUGCGUAACGCGUGGGAACCUGCCCUUAGGUUCGGAAUAACUCCCCGAAAGGGGUGCUAAUACCGGAUAAUGUCUUCGGACCAAAGAUUUAUCGCCUUUGGAUGGGCCCGCGUUGGAUUAGCUAGUUGGUAGGGUAAAAGCCUACCAAGGCGACGAUCCAUAGCUGGUCUGAGAGGAUGCUCAGCCACACUGGGACUGAGACACGGCCCAGACUCCUACGGGAGGCAGCAGUGGGGAAUAUUGGACAAUGGGCGAAAGCCUGAUACAGCAAUGCCGCGUGAGUGAUGAAGGCCUUAGGGUUGUAAAGCUCUUUUACCCGGGAUGAUAAUGACAGUACCGGGAGAAUAAGCUCCGGCUAACUCCGUG